GUCUCUUUGAAAAUAGAAAGAGUCAAACCUGCCCGCUGAAAGUUUUUAAGGGCCGCGGUAUUUUGACCGUGCGAAGGUAGCAUAAUCAUUAGUUUUUUAAUUGGAAUCUUGUAUGAAUGGUUAGACAAGAGAAACUCUGUCUCUUUAUUAAAAAUUGAAUUUAACUUUUAAGUGAAAAGGCUUAAAUAAGUUAAAGGGACGAUAAGACCCUAUAAAGUUUGAUAUAAAGUAUUAUUCAAUUGAAUUGAAAUUAAAGAUUUUAUAAUGCAGUUUAUUUUUUUGGGGUGAAAAAAGUAAAAUGUUUAAUAACUGCUGUAAAUGUGAUACAUGUUAGUUGGAAUAAAUUUUUAAAAGAUCCUAAAUAAAGAUUAUAAGUUUAAGUUACUUUAGGGAUAACAGCGUUAUUUUUUUUGAGAGUACGUAUCGAAAAAAAAGUUUGCGACCUCGAUGUUGAAUUAAAAUUUCUUUAUAGAAGCAGAAAUUAUAAUAGUUGGUCUGUUCGACCUUUAAAAUUUUACAUGAUUUGAGUUCAAACCGGUGUAAG
This 544-nucleotide ribosomal RNA is filed under the name Macrophthalmus erato. Its description in RNAcentral is "partial 16S rRNA". It matches the Rfam family "Bacterial large subunit ribosomal RNA", at positions 1819 to 2625 of the family's 2925-position model. The record is from RNAcentral. Lineage: Eukaryota; Metazoa; Arthropoda; Malacostraca; Decapoda; Macrophthalmidae.